Molecule: non-coding RNA, 120 nt
Filed under: Andreesenella formicacetica
Lineage: Bacteria; Bacillati; Bacillota; Clostridia; Peptostreptococcales; Natronincolaceae
Description: Clostridium formicaceticum MoCo sequence
Rfam family: Molybdenum/Tungsten riboswitch aptamer (Moco RNA motif)
Source: RNAcentral
AAUUUAAAGUUGUUCUGAGUCCAACGGCCUAAAGUUUACGACAAUGGUUUUUGGACCGAUAGGGUGAAACUGGAAACGGUUUUGCCUCCCAUUGUGGAAAGGAACCUCUCGAAAAAAGUU